AAGUCGUAACAAGGUUUCCGUAGGUGAACCUGCGGAAGGAUCAUUAUCGUAUAAACUUGAACAGGCUGUUGCUGGCCCUCCGGGGUGUCGUGCACGCUUGUCUCAUCUUUGUCAUUUCUUCCAACUGUGCACAUUUUGUAGAUCCUGGAAAUGGGAGAGCUCCAUGAACUUGUGUUCGAGUCGGGAAUUGCUGUUGCUUUUUUCUUAGGCCGGCUUUUCCUUGUACCUUUCCCCCAGGUCUAUGUCAUUUUAUCACAAUCUCUCGAGUAUGUUCAGAAUGUCGUUGGAAUAUAAUAUAAUAUAUACAACUUUCAGCAACGGAUCUCUUGGCUCUC
RNAcentral lists this unclassified non-coding RNA (335 nucleotides) under air metagenome. RNAcentral's name for it is "partial contains small subunit ribosomal RNA, internal transcribed spacer 1, and 5.8S ribosomal RNA". The stretch from base 1 to 46 matches the Rfam family "Eukaryotic small subunit ribosomal RNA", at positions 1786 to 1831 of the family's 1831-position model. The record is from RNAcentral.